UCCCUGGUGGUCCAGUGGUUAAGACUCAGUGCUCCAAGUGCAGGGGCCUGGGUUCAAUCCCUGGUCAGGGAA
Molecule: transfer RNA, 72 nt
Filed under: Capra hircus (goat)
Lineage: Eukaryota; Metazoa; Chordata; Mammalia; Artiodactyla; Bovidae
Also listed under: 1 other name
Rfam family: tRNA
About the family: Transfer RNA (tRNA) molecules are approximately 80 nucleotides in length. Their secondary structure includes four short double-helical elements and three loops (D, anti-codon, and T loops).
Source: Rfam by way of RNAcentral